AAUUAGAAAGCGAAAAUCGCAUUUAGUUUCGGCCUAAACUUUGGUUGGUACCUCUAAUUU
This 60-nucleotide transfer RNA is filed under the name Cherax punctatus. RNAcentral describes it as "tRNA-Arg". Lineage: Eukaryota; Metazoa; Arthropoda; Malacostraca; Decapoda; Parastacidae. The record is from RNAcentral.